GGCCUCCCCAAGCUCAUGUCCCUUGACACCACGCAAGCCAGGGCUGGCAGAAGGAUUGCAGGUGCACUGCUGGACAACUGCACCCGGUCCCACUCUGUCACUGACCAGCAGCGUGACGUGGGCAGUGUCUUCAUCUCUCGUGCCUCAGUUUCCUCCUCUGUUAGAUGGGGGUAGUGCUGCUACCUCCCUCCCUCCUGGAAGGGCGCUGACAAGGGAGCUGAGGUUCAGGAAUCUCUCAUGGUGACCCAGAGAGGAGCUGGCGUCCAACAGCACGUGUGUCCACUUUUUGUGACACUUACCUGUGCCACUGCAGGUCAGGGGCUUGGCCCCGUGCACAGUAAGUGCUUACAGUUAGCAUCAUUAUUCAGGGUGGACUAUGAGUGCU
Homo sapiens (human) is the source of this 385-nucleotide long non-coding RNA. The record is from Ensembl. Lineage: Eukaryota; Metazoa; Chordata; Mammalia; Primates; Hominidae.